RNAcentral lists this small RNA (132 nucleotides) under Kosakonia sp. SOY2. RNAcentral describes it as "RtT sRNA". It matches the Rfam family "RtT RNA". Rfam says of the family: This family represents a bacterial cis-regulatory element known as RtT RNA. The record is from RNAcentral. Lineage: Bacteria; Pseudomonadati; Pseudomonadota; Gammaproteobacteria; Enterobacterales; Enterobacteriaceae.
ACAUUCUCCGUUCGGGGAAGGACGAGAACCUUCGAUUAAGGUUCGACCCGAGCGAAGGCGAGAGAACGUUGCCGCAGGCAACGGCCCGAAGGGUGAGGAACAAAGUGACGAAUAAUCCUUCCCUCACCACCA